UACGGAGGGUGCAAGCGUUGCUCGGAAUUAUUGGGCGUAAAGCGCGUGUAGGCGGUCUCUUAAGUCUGAUGUGAAAGCCCGGGGCUUAACCCCGGAACUGCAUUGGAUACUGAGAGACUAGAGGACGAGAGAGGGUGGUGGAAUUCCUGGUGUAGGGGUGAAAUCCGUAGAUAUCAGGAGGAACAUCAGUGGCGAAGGCGGCCACCUGGCUCGUAACUGACGCUGAGACGCGAAAGCGUGGGGAGCAAAC
This 250-nucleotide ribosomal RNA is filed under the name uncultured bacterium. RNAcentral's name for it is "partial 16S ribosomal RNA". It matches the Rfam family "Bacterial small subunit ribosomal RNA", at positions 524 to 773 of the family's 1533-position model. The record is from RNAcentral.